RNAcentral lists this ribosomal RNA (439 nucleotides) under uncultured bacterium. RNAcentral's name for it is "partial 16S ribosomal RNA". It matches the Rfam family "Bacterial small subunit ribosomal RNA", at positions 338 to 794 of the family's 1533-position model. The record is from RNAcentral.
CCUACGGGAGGCAGCAGUUAGGAAUUUUGGGCAAUGGGCGAAAGCCUGACCCAGCAACGCCGCGUGGGGGAGGAAGGCCUUCGGGUCGUAAACCCCUUUUCUGGGGGAAGACUAGGACGGUACCCCAGGAAUAAGCCUCGGCUAACUCUGUGCCGGCAGCCGCGGUAAAACGGAGGAGGCUAGCGUUAUCCGGAUUUAUUGGGCGUAAAGGGCGCGCAGGCGGCCCUGGAAGUUGGGGGUGAAAUCUCCCGGCUCAACCGGGAGGGGUCCCGCAAUACUCCGGGGCUAGAGGUCAGCAGAGGAAGGUGGAAUUCCCGGUGUAGUGGUGAAAUGCGUAGAUAUCGGGAGGAACACCAGAGGCGAAGGCGGCUCUCUAGGCUACUCCUGACGCUGAGGCACGAAAGCAAGGGGAGCAAACGGGAUUAGAUACCCGGGUAGU